Molecule: long non-coding RNA, 7448 nt
Filed under: Malus domestica (apple)
Lineage: Eukaryota; Viridiplantae; Streptophyta; Magnoliopsida; Rosales; Rosaceae
Description: long non-coding RNA (MDOM_LNC003218)
Source: RNAcentral
AUCAAACUGCUUAAUAUCUAUGCGAAUAUAACAAAAACUCACAUAAAGUAUAUUUUUGGUGCCUCCGAUAUUUCGGGCCCCAGACAGUGCCCUACUGGCUCUGGGCCAGGGGUGGCCAUGUCCAUGAGUAGAGCUCAAGCAAGUAAUAAUGGAGAGAUAGGAGAAAGUUUUAUCACGCGUUGGGAACUUGACAAACUAAAAUACAAUAUUUACAUAAAUGAUUACACUACGAAUUUGUUGUGGUCUUUUAUAAAAUCUCUUGACUAUUGGGCCGUGCAUGUAAUUAAUUUGAGAACGAUAUCAGUGUUGGACUAACUAGUAGUAAUCCGUUGGAUCAGGUGUCUCAAACCUUAACAGGUAAUUAGAUUGAUAAAAACUCAAUACCAAUCUUUUAAGUCCCAGCUGCCAAGCUUCACUCAGUUCCUUUAGUAAAUAUGUAUCCGAAGGAGAGCCGAAGCUCUGCCACAAAUAGAAAUACUUGUCUGAGUUCUCGUCUCCCAGUUCUGCAUUUUUCAGAAUGCAAAAGCGAGUUAUGUGAUAAUUAGUGAAUCUUAUCGAGGCUCCAACACGGAUAUGGAAGAUUCAGUCGUUGAAAAUGUCUCUUUCAUCACACCGGAAAGGGAAAAUGUUUCGUUUUUACUCGAAGAUUCUGCUUCAGAUGAUGAAUAUUUUCCUAUAAAGAAACCUGGCUUUUUGGGUUGAGGCAAUGCACUCUCACCACCUAACAUCAGAACCACCGAUGACAUGGUUGGCCUGUCUUCUGGUUGCAUGUUGCAACGCUAAAAGGACUUAACAUGUCAUGCGACGCAAGACUUUAUCGUUCAUAUCGAGUCUGAUGAGUGCCAUUCAUAAUCAGCUCUAAGUGUCCGCCCUUCUUACCCACAACCGCCACGCCUGAGGCACCAUGAUAUGUCACAAGAAACAAAAACACUUAAAUCGUCAGUCACAAAACAGAGAACACACAAAGUAAUGAGGAUUCAAUAGUUGAUGAGAUUUUCGGGUUCCUUUGUCAAGUCUGGAAUAAGAUAGGCUGAGAUUGUGAUUCUGGAUCAUAAAAACCCUCUACUUACUCUUUCCACUUAGUGUCUCCAGCAGUAAAUUACCGAGCUGAAACACAUCGGGAUUAUUAUUAGAGAAAUGACCACCCAUCGAAAUAUUUCUUGGUGCAUAUAGCCCACUCUAUACAAGAACAAAACAAAAUUAGGAGUAUGCUUAGUUCGAGACAGAUCCAUAUGAAAAUUCCAAAAGGACAUGUAACAGAAGAUCGCCUCCAAAAAGUCUAGCCUAUAGGCUUACCUCUCUUUUUUUCACAUAUUUUGUCUGUAAGCAUAUUUAAGCUGCUUUAAGAAAACCUCAGCAUGGGAUGCAAUAGAAUUCCACCUAGCGGAAACGGAUGAAUAUAUAAAAUAACGGGGACAUGAUCGCUUUACAAUUUGAAUGUGAGUUGUUAUGUGGUUUAAUGAAAUGUUAUCCUCUGAAACUUUUGCUCCUUCUUGAAGAGUAGUAGAUGGCUAAAGAAAUCCCCCAAAACAAUGGAAAGCGAGCGGAUACAGCUAUCGCUAUUCUCUUCGUCUUAGACGGAAUUUCUGUAACCAUGUUAAAUUCAUCAGCCAGGUCCAAAAGCAUCACCGUAUAGUCAAAACUUCAAUUAGUGUCAUCAUCACUGGAAAAAAUUAGAGAAAGAUAGCAUAAAAGCUGGGUGGGGAGUAGGGUUCUCAAAAAAGUAUAGGACGAACAUUAAAGCGGGGAAAUAGACAACAGAUUAAAAACAAUGAUUUGAUGUCAAGCACUCCUAAAUACUUAUUAAGAGAAGAAAUAAGGGUUUCACAACGAAUCAGAGCAAGCACCGGACAUAAGAUCCUGCCCGCUGUCAGGAAGCUGCCAAGUCUGAUCAGUCACCAACCACGUCAGUCAAUGCCUCCUCCUUUGACACUAGAGCUUGCAUAAGCAAUACAGACAGUUUUUCAAGCAACUUGCCUGCAUUCCUUCAACACUCCUACUUUGUUCCACCUGAGAAUUUGUGGCAUCCGGCAACUUCACACACCUCAUAUUUAAAAACAAUCAUCUGGUUUGGACGGUCAGCGGCUUAACACGCACGCAACCCGAAUAUAUCUGCAUAUUUCCAAUUCUGAGGGUUCUUUGGUUGGAAUCCUUUUAGCUGCAAACCUCUGAAACUAAUUUCACACAUUCCUUGGGCCGGAUGGAUGUACAACUGUCUUUGAACGCUGAAACAGACUUGAAAAACCAAAAAUCUAAUCUCAGGGUCUCCUGACUUGAGUAAUAGCUUCAGCUGCAGGUGAGGAGUUUGAAGAAAGAGAGGGACACAUGAUUUCAAUGACAUGACUUGAAAAAAUUGGUUCCAUUGUUUUCUGGUCUUGGAGUUGUUGUUAUAUCUAUAUGCUACUGCUACUACUGCACUCGGCAAAUAUGAAGUUAGCAGAUUUAGAUAAAUUUUGCCAGAGAAAAUAAACAUAAGAACAAGAUUAAUAAACACAAGCAGUGAGCCCGCGCGUCUGUUUUUCAAACUGUCUUAAAAUGUAAAAAGUAGGGCAUAUAUACGUGAGAACAUAUGUGCAGAAGGGUUAUAUAUAUAGAUGGAGAAAGUGAGGAUGCUGAUAUGGCACACGUUAAAGAGACAAAAUUGCUAAAAAACCUCUGCAAAUCACUUGCAGCAUGUUUUUCAAUUGCCCAUUCUUGUGAUUUUAUUAAUUUUUUGUUCUAAUUAAAAAAACCGGAAAUUGACAAAAUCAUUUGAAAACCCCUCCCUAAGCAAAAUAAUUAACUAAUGAUCGAGAAACAAACUUUGUUCAAGGCAAUCGAUCAGAUCUCGCCUUGCAUUGCUGGUUCCAACACAGCACUCUGUACACAAAAUCCCAAAAAAAAAAUCAAUAAGUAAACCUACUGAAUAAAACUCAAUGAGGUAACCUACUUAACAAACCUAAUUACAUGCUUAAAACUCAAAAAUUCAAAAUUGUUUAGAAAAAGUUUCGAUUCAGACCUUAUUUCAAAACAUCUCUUCUGUUCUUCUCAGGCUGCGGACAAACCCUCCACCAAAACUGAUUUACAGCAUCUGUUUCUAGCCAUCAUUAUGAGUCAAUUUGGAGAUUUAUAAAGAUCUCGAGAAUUAAUGAAAAUUCAGAUAAAAAAAAUCAUAUCAAAGAACCCAUAACUUCAAAAAAAGAUUGUUCCUAAACCAGCAAAUUUAAAAAGAAUCCUAAAAAAAAAAAAAAAAGGUAAAUCGAUCCGAUAUAAGACAUGAGUAAAUUAAUUUCAUAAAUAUGAUCAUAAGCAUGCGAUUCUAAUACUGCUGUUUGUAUGAACAGUAAAUUGAUUCGAUUAGCUUUAAAACUCAACCAUUGCCACAAAUUCACAACCUAGCAAAUUGAGGGUUUGUAAGAGACCUUCGCCGAACCCAAAAAGGUCGGAAGGCCUGAAACCGGUCGGAGAAACUCAGAUAGUCGUCGGAAAAAAAACACCGCGGCUGGUUAUAUGGAACUCCUCGGUUUAGGGGGAUUCGAGCAUGCAAAACCUUGCAAAAGUUACAGAUAUCACACACGACACACAACCUUAGACAAGCCUCCAGCUUUAAGGGCAUUAUAUGCAGAGUAUACAGUUUCCUUCAAUAUUCAUCUUAAAAUGAACUAAUAUUGAACAUGCAAUACCUUAACGUAUCUCCUAAGAGUGAGAGAAGUUGUUUCCAGGUAACGGAGGGGCCCAAUUCGCCGGCGAUCGGCAGGAAUUUCGGUCGUGGUUGGGAGGCGUGGUGAGUUGCGCGCGGAAGGGAAGAGAGAAGGAAGACGACAAGAGAAACAGAAACAAACAUGGCAUAGAACGUGAAUAAAGAAAUUAGUGAGGGUAAAACCGGAACAGUGUUUCAAGGCAAAAUGGAUUUUAGGGCAUUCACCAGGAACCCCAAUUCCGGUGACUUUUGGCCCACCUUGGCCCCACUAGUUGAGCUAAAAUUGAAUUAUUAGGGGAUUUUGAACUUAAAAGGAUUUUUCACCAUUAAAUUUCAUCAAAGCUUACACUAAUCAAGAUUUAACGGUUAAAACUACUAAAGUAGAUAUUUAUCGUUCCCGUGAUACUCUAAUUUGGAGAAUGGCUAUGUAUCUUGAGAAUGAAUUUCAUAUUGAUAAGUUGAGGGAUGUUGCAUGUGCUUAUAGUUAGUUGGACUACUCCUUAUAUUACCAAUUAAUUUUAUGGUGGAAUCUCAACUUUCUUCAAUGUACACCCUUAAGACGUUAUGGUUGGUUGGUAAAACCAAAACUACAGUAUCACUUAAGACGUUAUGGUUGGUUGGUAAAACCAAUACUACAGUAUCAUUUAAGACGUUAUGGUUGGUUGGUAAAACCAAUACUACAGUAUCAUGUAUUUUUUUUAUCUCAUAUAAUAUCUUAUUAUAGAUGUAAAACGCCACGAUCGAUUGAAAGGUGCAUGCAAAAUGUUAUAAUUUUAAGAAGAAACAACUGCAGAUGCGCCCUGUGUCCCAUUAAGGCCAUUAAGAUUAUGUCAUCUGGCAUCAAUGCCAAGGAUUUGAGUGUCUCGUGUUGUGAAACCCUAGAGCAACUCCACUCAUGGAGUUUGCUCGGGGGACAGGCUCCAGGAAAGGGCCCGAGGGUCAGUGGGAGGAGGUCCAGCGUUGAAGGACCCGAGUGAGGGUGGGAGCCCGAGUUGCAGGCUUGUGGAAAAUUGAUAGGCUUGCUGCCCGAGGGGGGAGGGGUCAUGCUGACGCAAGGGAGAAAAAAAAAACCAUUUUUUGUGUCAGGCUGGGUCCGGUUUUUUUAAUUUUUUUUUAUCUAUAUGCAUUAUUUUCACUUUUUCUAUGAUAGGUGUUGUAUUACAGGAAGAAAAAAAAAACAUUUUUUGUUUUCAUCAUUACUUUCUUGGCAAAAGAAUUAAAGAUAUUAUUUUUAGAUACAAUGACACGUGGCGCAACGAGAAUGAUUUAAAAAAUUUUAUUCGAAAUUACAAAUAAUUUUAUUUUGUAUUAUUUAAACAAACAAAAAAACUAAUAUUUUAUUGCCUAUUGCCAGGGGGAGGGCUCCAAUGGUGGAGAUGCAAAUGACAAUUACUGUUCAUUAAGGGCAGUUACUAUUCAUUAAAGGCAGUUACUGUUCAAUAGGAUGGAUUCAAUAGUGGAUUGCCAGGGGGGAUGGCUCUAUGGGUGGAGUUGCUCUUAAGUGACAAGUCCUUGCUACUAAGGAUAUGGAUUGUCUACCCUCCUCUCAUACCCUUUUAUUUUUGUAGUCAUAGUUAAGUCACGUCAACAUUUUAUAUUCAAAUUGUUUUUUGUCUUAUUAUUUUUAUAAAAAAAAAUUCAAUAUAAAAUGUUAACGUGAUUUAAUUACAAAAUAUAAGAUAACAUAGAAAGAGUAGGAGAUGGAGAGAGCAGACAAUCGAAGUUUUACUACUAAAAGUUUUGCUACUAAACCCUAUUGAUGGCAUUAGUCUAAAGUGCUCAAUUAUCCAAAAUAAAAGAAAGAAGGGUAGGUACAUGUUACUUUCAGAGCAGUCCGAUAGCAUUAAAUGUCAGGGUGUUUCCACUGGCUUUUUGACUAAUACAAAUAAAUCAAACUUGUCCACGUUCAAUUCGUCACCGUUUUUUUUUUUUAAUAUAGGUCAGGUUGGCAUUGUUGGAAAAAUAUUAGGCUUCUAGAAAAUCCUUUUUUAUUUUUAAGAAAGAAAAAAAAUGAUAUUAGGCUUCUAGAAAAUCUUGAUGAUACAUUUGUCAGAUAUUCAAAGAGAUGAUUCAUUGACACACUUAUAAUUUACAUGAUAUUGUCCUUCAACUUGCAUAUUGCCAAUUGUACAUAACAUCAAGUGUGGUAGUUUUACACAAAGGACAAGGAUUGUCUGCCCUCUCGUGUCAUUCUGUUUUGUGUAAUCACAAUUAAGUCACGUCAACAUUUUAUAUUUUUAUAAAGAUAAUAAGACAAAAAUGAAUAGUAAUAUAAAAUGUUAACGUGGCUUAACUGUGAUCACACAAACAGGAGGGUACGGGAGGGUACCAGAAGUGGUAGGGCAACCAAUCCUUGUCCUUACACAAAAGGUUUGGACAACUUUAGAAGCAGAACCAAACAGUUAUAUAUUGUAUUUUAUUUUUAUAAAAUUUUUGAUGUGGGACAUAUAUUCAACGCGCUUCGUUACAUAGGACUACUACAUAGUGUGCCAAAUAUGCAAUCAAUCAUUAAGUGCGAAAGCAUGGUGUUACAUUAAACUCAAUAACUCGGACGCAACAUGGACCUUUAGGAACCACAAUCAAACCCACUAUGAUACCGUAUCAGAUAAACAAAGAAGCGGAUCAUUGGCCAUUUCUAACCACACUGAUAGUGUCAUCCAACUUGCAAUUUGUCAUUUACUAAGAAAUUUUAAAAUGACAGAAAUUGAAAUUAUGAGAUUUUAUUUUUUUAAAUUUGUGAAUUUUCUUAUUUGGUUAAUCUAAAAGAACAACGGAAUUCAAUACAAAAUUUGUUAAUUUUAAACUCUCAAUCAUAGAAAUUGGGAAAUGACACCUAUUUACAUGGAAUUUAAACUUGAGAAUUGAAGGUCCCAAAUUCCAAGUUUUGUAUCCAUGCAGAAAUUCUAAAUUUCUAUGGUUAUGAAUCCAAAUAAGGGAAUUGAUGUAUGUCAAUUUAUAAAUUCUGACUUUUACCUAAAUUUCAAGUUUAUUUCCCUCAUCCAAACAUAGUGUUAGGGGUGAUUCCAAAUUGAUCAUAACAUUUUAAAACACUCCAAAUAACUAACGUUUUGAAAAAUGGACAUCUGUUAGGUUUAUUAAUAUUAAAUGAUGACAUGGACAUAUAUUAAAGCUUGUUUUAACUUGCAAGUCAUCAAUGUAGUUUUGAAUCUCCUAAUUUUUCUAUUUUUAGCCAAGCAAAGUUACUAUUUAAUUUGGCUAAAAGGGGUCGAUUUGGGAGAUUAGAGCUCCAAAGACAAUGAUUUGUGAAAACCAACUUUGAUAUUUGUCCGCAUCAUCAAUUAUUCAAUUCGGUUUUGAAAAAAAAAAAAGAAUCAGAAUAUGACAAAAUCCUACUUUGGAAAUGGAAAAGAAAAGGUGUGACAUUAAGUGAAAUUCUCAUCCCUCCAACAGUUGAUAAUAGUUUGAUAUUUGAUUGUAUGAUGCCAUUUAAUUAGAUUUGGUCAAUUUAUUAUGGUAAAAUUAUGUCACUACUAAUUUGUUGUGGCCUUUUAUAUAAAAUCUCAUGACUAUUGGGCCAUGCAUAUAAUUAAUUUGAGGACGAUAUCAGUGUUGGACUAACUAGUAGUAAUCCGUUGGAUCAGGUGUCUGAAACCUAAACAGGUAAUUGAUAAAAACUCAUGACCAAUCUUUUAAGUCCCAGCUGCCAAGCUUCGCUCAGUUCCUUUAGUAAAUAGGUAUCUGAAGGAUAGCCAAAGCUCUGCCACAAAUAGAAAUAGUUGUCUGAGUUCUCGUCUCCCAGUUCUGCAUU